UUUAAAAUUGAGAGUUUGAUCCUGGCUCAGGACGAACGCUGGCGGCGUGCUUAACACAUGCAAGUCGAGCGAUGAAGCUUCCUUCGGGAGGUGGAUUAGCGGCGGACGGGUGAGUAACACGUGGGUAACCUGCCUCAAAGUGGGGGAUAGCCUUCCGAAAGGAAGAUUAAUACCGCAUAAUAUAAGAGAAUCGCAUGAUUUUCUUAUCAAAGAUUUAUUGCUUUGAGAUGGACCCGCGGCGCAUUAGCUAGUUGGUAAGGUAACGGCUUACCAAGGCAACGAUGCGUAGCCGACCUGAGAGGGUGAUCGGCCACAUUGGAACUGAGACACGGUCCAGACUCCUACGGGAGGCAGCAGUGGGGAAUAUUGCGCAAUGGGGGAAACCCUGACGCAGCAACGCCGCGUGGGUGAUGAAGGUCUUCGGAUUGUAAAGCCCUGUUUUCUGGGACGAUAAUGACGGUACCAGAGGAGGAAGCCACG
Molecule: ribosomal RNA, 480 nt
Filed under: Clostridium sporogenes
Lineage: Bacteria; Bacillati; Bacillota; Clostridia; Eubacteriales; Clostridiaceae
Description: bacterial SSU rRNA
Rfam family: Bacterial small subunit ribosomal RNA
Source: RNAcentral